Molecule: ribosomal RNA, 425 nt
Filed under: uncultured bacterium
Lineage: Bacteria
Description: bacterial SSU rRNA
Rfam family: Bacterial small subunit ribosomal RNA
Source: RNAcentral
UGGGGAAUAUUGGACAAUGGGCGGAAGCCUGAUCCAGCAACGCCGCGUGAGGGAUGACGGCCUUCGGGUUGUAAACCUCUUUCAGCGGGGACGAAGCGCAAGUGACGGUACCCGCAGAAGAAGCACCGGCCAACUACGUGCCAGCAGCCGCGGUAAUACGUAGGGUGCGAGCGUUGUCCGGAAUUAUUGGGCGUAAAGGGCUCGUAGGCGGUUUGUCGCGUCGGGAGUGAAAACACCGGGCUUAACUCGGUGCUUGCUUUCGAUACGGGCAGACUAGAGGUAUUCAGGGGAGAACGGAAUUCCUGGUGUAGCGGUGAAAUGCGCAGAUAUCAGGAGGAACACCGGUGGCGAAGGCGGUUCUCUGGGAAUAUCCUGACGCUGAGGAGCGAAAGUGUGGGGAGCGAACAGGAUUAGAUACCCUGGUA